Long non-coding RNA from Osmia bicornis bicornis, 367 nucleotides. RefSeq lists it as uncharacterized. The record is from RefSeq and is a predicted model, not a curated record. The transcript has 2 exons. Lineage: Eukaryota; Metazoa; Arthropoda; Insecta; Hymenoptera; Megachilidae.
AAAACAUUUGGAAAUAUCGCUAAAAUGUAAACACUGAACGAAACGAUCACUGAUAAAGAUCACUGUUUUUCACUAUUUAAGGUUCAAAUGAAGAUCCAAUACAAUCACUACGUCGUACUUCAAUAGUAAAUUAUAUACACGAUUGUCAUAAAAUUAUUAAAGAAAUAAGAAGGAAAAUGUAAUCGUUCACAAAACACUGUUAAACGAUGGAUACUGCAUACAAAAUCUCUAAAAUGCUGAAACGUGCUGUUAGCCACCGACUGUCAUCACUGUACAUUUCAGCCACGGUGCGUCGGAUAGGAACGUACCUGUUCUCGCAGCGCCCCUUGGACAAAAUGGAAUAAAUCGAUUGAAAUAAUGAAAAAGA